RNAcentral lists this ribosomal RNA (196 nucleotides) under uncultured soil bacterium. RNAcentral's name for it is "partial 16S ribosomal RNA". It matches the Rfam family "Bacterial small subunit ribosomal RNA", at positions 335 to 524 of the family's 1533-position model. The record is from RNAcentral.
ACUCCUACGGGAGGCAGCAGUCGGGAAUUUUGGGCAAUGGGCGAAAGCCUGACCCAGCAACGCCGCGUGAAGGAUGAAAUCCCUCGGGAUGUAAACUUCGCAAGAAUGGGAAGAAGAUUAGAGGGUGAUAACCCCUUUUGAUUUGACGGUACCAUUUGUAAGCUCCGGCUAACUCCGUGCCAGCAGCCGCGGUAAU